UACGUAGGCAGCAAGCGUUGUUCGGAAUUACUGGGCGUAAAGAGUGUGUAGGCGGUGCUCUAAGUUCGGUGUGAAAUCUCCCGGCUCAACUGGGAGGGUGCGCCGGAAACUGGAGUGCUGGAGCGCGGGAGAGGAAAGCGGAAUUCCUGGUGUAGCGGUGAAAUGCGUAGAUAUCAGGAGGAACACCGGCGGUGUGGACGGCUUUCUGGACCGUAGCUGACCGCUGAGACACGAAAAGCG
RNAcentral lists this ribosomal RNA (240 nucleotides) under uncultured bacterium. RNAcentral's name for it is "partial 16S ribosomal RNA". It matches the Rfam family "Bacterial small subunit ribosomal RNA", at positions 524 to 762 of the family's 1533-position model. The record is from RNAcentral.